This 65-nucleotide transfer RNA is filed under the name Sogata hakonensis. Its description in RNAcentral is "tRNA-Tyr". Lineage: Eukaryota; Metazoa; Arthropoda; Insecta; Hemiptera; Delphacidae. The record is from RNAcentral.
AAUAGGGUGUCUGAUUUAAGUAAUAAAUUGUAAAUUUAUUUAAGGUUAAAAAUAUCCUCCUAUUA